GUGGAACUCCAUGUGUAGCGGUGGAAUGCGUAGAUAUAUGGAAGAACACCAGUGGCGAAGGCGGCUGUCUAGUCUGUAACUGACGCUGAGGCUCGAAAGCAUGGGUAGCGAACAGGAUUAGAUACCCUGGUAGUCCAUGCCGUAAACGAUGAGUGCUAAGUGUUGGAGGGUUUCCCCCUUCAGUGCUGCAGCUAACGCAUUAAGCACUCCGCCUGGGGAAUACGACCGCAAGGUUGAAACUCAAAGGAAUUGACGGGGGCCCGCACAAGCGGUGGAGCAUGUGGUUUAAUUCGAAGCUACGCGAAGAACCUUACCAGGUCUUGACAUCUUCUGCCAAUCUUAGAGAUAAGACGUUCCCUUCGGGGACAGAAUGACAGGUGGUGCAUGGUUGUCGUCAGCUCGUGUCGUGAGAUGUUGGGUUAAGUCCCGCAACGAGCGCAACCCUUAUUAUCAGUUGCCAGCAUUCAGUUGGGCACUCUGGUGAGACUGCCGGUGACAAACCGGAGGAAGGUGGGGAUGACGUCAAAUCAUCAUGCCCCUUAUGACCUGGGCUACACACGUGCUACAAUGGACGGUACAACGAGUCGCGAAGUCGUGAGGCUAAGCUAAUCUCUUAAAGCCGUUCUCAGUUCGGAUUGUAGGCUGCAACUCGCCUACAUGAAGUUGGAAUCGCUAGUAAUCGCGGAUCAGCAUGCCGCGGUGAAUACGUUCCCGGGCCUUGUACACACCGCCCGUCACACCAUGAGAGUUUGUAACACCCAAAGCCGGUGAGAUAACCUUCGGGAGUCAGCCGUCUAAGGUGGGACAGAUGAUUAGGGUGAAGUCGUAACAAGGUAACCAAGGGCGAAUCG
Molecule: ribosomal RNA, 851 nt
Filed under: uncultured Lactobacillus sp.
Lineage: Bacteria; Bacillati; Bacillota; Bacilli; Lactobacillales; Lactobacillaceae
Description: bacterial SSU rRNA
Rfam family: Bacterial small subunit ribosomal RNA
Source: RNAcentral